GUAGUCAUAUGCUUGUCUCAAAGAUUAAGCCAUGCAUGUCUAAGUAUAAGCAAUUUAUACGGUGAAACUGCGAAUGGCUCAUUAAAUCAGUUAUCGUUUAUUUGAUAGUACCUUACUACAUGGAUACCUGUGGUAAUUCUAGAGCUAAUACAUGCUGAAAACCCCGACUUCGGAAGGGGUGUAUUUAUUAGAUAAAAAACCAACGCCCUUCGGGGCUCCUUGGUGAAUCAUAAUAACUUAACGAAUCGCAUGGCCUUGCGCCGGCGAUGGUUCAUUCAAAUUUCUGCCCUAUCAACUUUCGAUGGUAGGAUAGUGGCCUACCAUGGUGGCAACGGGUAACGGGGAAU
RNAcentral lists this ribosomal RNA (347 nucleotides) under uncultured fungus. Its description in RNAcentral is "SSU rRNA". It matches the Rfam family "Eukaryotic small subunit ribosomal RNA", at positions 20 to 370 of the family's 1831-position model. The record is from RNAcentral. Lineage: Eukaryota; Fungi.